AGAAUCAACGCUGGCGGCGUGCCUAACACAUGCAAGUCGAACGAGAAAGUGGAGCAAUCCAUGAGUAAAGUGGCGCACGGGUGAGUAACACGUGACUAACCUACCUUUUAGUGGGGGAUAACCUAGGGAAACCUGGGCUAAUACCGCAUAAUACCUACGGGUCAAAGCAGCAAUGCGCUGAAAGAGGGGGUCGCGGUCGAUUAGUUAGUUGGCAGGGUAAUGGCCUACCAAGACUGUGAUCGAUAUCCGGCCUGAGAGGGCGCACGGACACACUGGAACUGAAACACGGUCCAGACUCCUACGGGAGGCAGCAGUGGGGAAUUUUGCGCAAUGGGGGAAACCCUGACGCAGCAACGCCGCGUGGAGGAUGAAGUCCCUUGGGACGUAAACUCCUUUCGAUCGGGACGAUAAUGACGGUACCGGAAGAAGAACGCCCCGGCUAACUUCGCGCCAGCAGCCGC
This 461-nucleotide ribosomal RNA is filed under the name uncultured bacterium. RNAcentral's name for it is "SSU rRNA". It matches the Rfam family "Bacterial small subunit ribosomal RNA", at positions 26 to 518 of the family's 1533-position model. The record is from RNAcentral.